UGUUAUUCUUAAAAAGAAUUAUUUUUGUUCGGUAUUAGGAAAACAAGUUAUUAUAACUUUCUUACCUUAAUAUCAUUUAGAGCAAGGAUAGUAAUACAAUGUGUGGCUAACACACUAGGAGGCAACAACAAUGGAACAAGGUAAAGUAAAAUGGUUUAACGCAGAAAAAGGUUUUGGUUUCAUCGAACGCGAAGGCGGAGACGAUGUAUUCGUACAUUUCUCAGCUAUCCAAGGUGAAGGCUUCAAAUCUCUUGACGAAGGUCAAGACGUUACAUUUGAUGUUGAGCAAGGCCAACGCGGACCUCAAGCAUCUAACGUACGUAAAGCUUAAUUAAUAGUAUUCCAAAACAGGCCCUUUCCAGGGUCUGUUUUUUU
This 375-nucleotide small RNA is filed under the name Bacillus sp. MUM 13. RNAcentral's name for it is "cspA thermoregulator". It matches the Rfam family "cspA thermoregulator". The record is from Rfam by way of RNAcentral. Lineage: Bacteria; Bacillati; Bacillota; Bacilli; Caryophanales; Bacillaceae.